Molecule: ribosomal RNA, 410 nt
Filed under: Hemibracon sp.
Lineage: Eukaryota; Metazoa; Arthropoda; Insecta; Hymenoptera; Braconidae
Description: partial 16S ribosomal RNA
Source: RNAcentral
GUCUUUAAGAUUUUAAUUUAAAGUCUAAUCUGCCCCCUGAGAAUUUUUAAAUGGCUGCAGAAUUUUUACUGUACAAAGGUAGCAAAAUAAUUUGUUUUUUAAUUAAAAACUAGAAUGAAAGAUUUAAUGAAAUAUAAACUGUUUCAAUUAAAUUAAUAUUAAAUUUUUUAUUUAAGUAAAAAAACUUAAAUUUUUAUUUGGGACGAUAAGACCCUAUAGAAUUUUAUUUAAUAAAUUUAUUUAUAUAAGUUUAUUAAAUUUUAUUGGGGUAAUAAAAAAAUUAAUUUAAUUUUUUUUUAAAAAUACAUUAUAAAUGAUUUAUUUGUAUUAAUUUUUAAAAUUAAUAAUUAAUUACCUUAGGGAUAACAGCAUAAUUUUUUUUAAAAGAUCUUAUUAAUAAAAAAGGUUAU